Molecule: ribosomal RNA, 492 nt
Filed under: uncultured bacterium
Lineage: Bacteria
Description: partial 16S ribosomal RNA
Rfam family: Bacterial small subunit ribosomal RNA
Source: RNAcentral
AGUGAACGCUGGCGGUAGGCCUAACACAUGCAAGUCGAACGGCAGCACAGUAAGAGCUUGCUCUUACGGGUGGCGAGUGGCGGACGGGUGAGGAAUACAUCGGAAUCUACUUUUUCGUGGGGGAUAACGUAGGGAAACUUACGCUAAUACCGCAUACGACCUACGGGUGAAAGCAGGGGAUCUUCGGACCUUGCGCGAUUGAAUGAGCCGAUGUCGGAUUAGCUAGUUGGCGGGGUAAAGGCCCACCAAGGCGACGAUCCGUAGCUGGUCUGAGAGGAUGAUCAGCGAGAAUGGAACAGAGACACGGUCCAGACUCCUACGGGAGGCAGCAGUGGGGAAUAUUGGACAAUGGGCGCAAGCCUGAUCCAGCCAUACCGCGUGAGUGAAGAAGGCCUUCGGGUUGUAAAGCCCUUUUGUUGGGAAAGAAAAGCAGCAGGUUAAUACCCCGCUGUUCUGACGGUACCCAAAGAAUAAGCACCGGCUAACUUCGUG